This 864-nucleotide long non-coding RNA is filed under the name Elaeis guineensis (African oil palm). RNAcentral describes it as "long non-coding RNA (EGUI_LNC044399)". Lineage: Eukaryota; Viridiplantae; Streptophyta; Magnoliopsida; Arecales; Arecaceae. The record is from RNAcentral.
GCCUGGUUCAUAGUUUUCAAGAAAGAUUCUUUAAAAUGAGAAAUGUUCAAAAAUUUUCCAAUUACUUGAUUUGAAUAUUUGUUGAUAGAACAUAUGUUUAGUGGCUAUCACAAAAGUUUAUCCUAAUCUUUAAAGGUCAUCUAGUAAAUGCAUGAUUUUUAAGCAUCAUAAUACAUAAAAUUUCAUAAUCCCUUGCAUCUACAUCCUCUCCCUCUCUCUCUCUCUCUCUGUGUGUGUGUGUGUGUGUGUGUCUGUGUCUAUAUACAUGACUAACCAAAGAGAAGGAAACAGAAAGAUAAUUGAAAUUCCCCUCUUCAAUUUUCCAACGGGUUUACUAAAUUGCCUGAGUGGGUCUGACCAUAGAGGAGAACUAGAACUUACCUCCCAAACCAGAUUUUCUUUUCUAUUUGUUAUUGAAUAAUUCUUUAUUGUCUCUUUGACAUGCAUUAAAGAAAGACUGCAAUAGAGCUCCACAUUCAUGAUACUCUCUCUCUCUCNNNNNNNNNNNNNNNNNNNNAUACUACUCUCUCUCUCUCUCUCUCUCUCUCUCUCUCUCUCUGAGUUUCUCUUUUAUGUUCUAAACCAACCUUAGCAUACAUGAGAGAAGCAUCUAGUCCAGGCCCAGUUUUUCUUCUUUUUUCCUUUCUGAAUUUAGUAGCUAACAUCAAACUUUCUAACUUAUAAACCAAAAUAAAUAAAUAAAUAAAACAAAACUAGUAAUUUCAGACAAAUUUCUAACAACUUUUGUCUGUUAAAAAGUUCUAUCAUGUAAAGAAGAUAAUAUGCCCAUGAAAUUAUUUUUCUUUAAAUUAAAUAAUGAAAUGUACUCCAACUACAUGUAAAUAACUACUUCUAAUGAUGCUA